UAGGGUGCGAUGACGAGGUACACACAACCCUGAUCAAUCGCCUCCGAUGGCGAUCUGAUGUUCACCUUUUACCUUUGGUUCGUAUUCGCUGAGCAUCCGAUCUUCUUCAUCUAUCGAGGCCAGCAUUUUUUGUUUCUUUUUUUUUCUUGCUCGGUUUGCUUUGGAUCGAGGGACCUGGGGAUCCGCCGCCCUUCUUCGUGCGGCGUCAUCCAGUUUUUACCCCUCGAAUACGGCUUGCAGGCGCGUCCUAGCCAUCUCGCUCUCUGCAUAAUCCUCUGCGAGACCCGGGCUCGUAUGCCACAUUCGUCGUUGUCAAACUAAACAAAAAAAAUAGGCUUUUGUCGCGAAGAUCCCAGCAGAGAGGUGCGCUGAUGCCUCCCUAACAAUCAUAAUCUUCGCAGAGAAACGCUCAUGAUCCGUGGUUUCGUGGAUGUGUGAUUUGGAUUUUUGUUCCAUUACAUCUGUUUCCACGGCGACAUUUUCAUGAUUACUGCAGCGAACUGAACGAGGGACCUAUGGAUGGACUGCUCUUUGUCCGUGUUGUGCCGUCCAAGUUUGCCUUCGGAUAGUAAAACCAGCAAUCUGGUCACGAGAUCUCGCAAGCCUUUUCAUGUUUGUGGGAAUGGUGUGCCAAUUUGCCAAAUUUUGGGUUUCUAUCGUUAUCUUCAUAGGUCGUAAUUUUGCCAGGAUAUAGCGCCGGAACCCCAUACUGAGGUCGUCGUUAUUGCAGUCAUAAGCGACGAUGAAACUUUGAACAGACCAGAAUGUUCUUGCAGUCACAAGUGGUUGUCUAAAUUUGGAUAUUGAACAGAAUUACUUCCAGUUGAACCUACCGCUUCAACAAUUGGCAUACUUGCCUGAGUGGCUAACGAUCCAUGCAAUACUGCACUAUUAUUAAUUGGAGCCCGAGACACCACCUCAAAUUUCAUAACGUCGCUAUAAAAACAAAUAUUAGUUUUCACAAUAAUGAAGACUAUAAAAUACUUUUAAUGCCUAGUUUUAUUAUUCUAAAAAAUAGUUUAAAACAAUCUCUAAGUACAUAUAUAAGUCACCUAAAUAUAACAUUAUGAAAGACAAUUUGAAAUACUUUUAGUGAUUUUAUAAAUUGUGCUAUGUUCUAGAAAAUCAUGAUGCAUUAUUGUCUAAAGGGUAGUAUGUUUGUUUAUUGUAUAGAUUAUAUAAUGUAGCUUAUAAAUAAUUUAAGAGAAAUAAACAACAAAGAUUAUAACUGGUAGCUCUUUGGCUCUGACUUUUUUAAACGACUAAUUAUAAAAAGAAUAUAAAGUAGUCCUUUUUGUACUACAAAGAAUCCAUAAAUGGCUCUAGAUCUAUGAUAAGAUAUUGUCGGAGAGGAAAAUCUCCGGCUGGGCGGCAGAACGCACCCGUCCUAAAUUUUAAGAUGAGGAGGGUCUAAGCGUUUUGACUGUCUAUUGGGAGAUAGAUGAUAGCGAGUGUACACGAAGAUUUAGAGUGGUUUACGCCGUGGGAGCGUAAUACCAUACUCCACUGUCUGUGUGUUGUAUUGAGUCUGAGAGCUUGAGCGCUUGUGAGCCCGUCUGAGGGUUUGAGUAAACUUGAGAGUUUGCCUUGUAAUGUUGUGUGACUUCUGAUUUAUAGCUCAAGGGAGGCACAUACAAGAAUCCUGAGCCCUGACAUGUAGGCUUAGGAACAUAACGGAAGGAACACAUUAUAGGAGUAACUAAUGCAAGUAACGCUUGGGCUCAGGAACAUAACGGAAGGAACACAUUAUAGGAGUAACUAAUGCAAGUAACGCCUGAGCAAUCUCCUGGUGCCAUGAUGUUCGCAGUCCACGCAGUAUUGAUAUGCGGUGACUGCUUCCUUGGUAACGUGCGAGUAAUGAUGAGCGUAGUGCACGUGGCAGUAUGAGUGUUGUCUGCCAGUGGAAUUGACAGGCACGCCGCCUGCGGAAUGGACAUGUCGCCGCCUGCCAGGGGAAUGGACAGGUCACCGCAUGCCAGGGGAAUGGACAUAUCUCAAUAAAUGCAGAGGCGGCACACUGCCUGCCAGUGGAAUGGACAGACGACGCGCCUUAUCCUCAAUAAAUGCAGAGGCCGCGUAGCUCAGAGGCAUUACGUCAGGCUCCACCCAUUGGCUUACGUCACGUGUGGUAGGCCACGCGACAGCAUUGAGUCUUCGCUUGGGCGGGGAGCAGAAGCGUAUACGAUAAGGUCCGGACACGUGUCGGCUCUGGACCCCCGCCUGGCCUUGAUUAAGGCCUGGGUAUUCUCUGUCCCAAAAUCCCGGGACCCUGCUGUGAGCGGCCCGGACCCCACACAGAGGGGUCCGGAUCCCAUCCUAGGGGUCCAGUUUGCGCCCGUGGAGGUACUGGACCUUACCCGGAGGCCCAGUCUGUAUAUACAGGGGUCCGACACUUUCCCAUGGGGGUCCGGACUCACUGUUGACACCUUUGAGUAUAUCUUCUUCUCUGGCCACAUGGUGGGGUCGGGUGCUGUUGCUGGCCCAGAGUAGUCACUCGAAGCUGGGGACUGGGGUGAGUCACGGCCUGGCCCCACGCACAGCUCCUUUACCACGUGACCAAAGAUAGCCGCGUGGGUACUGUGUCUUCAUACAGUAGUUAGGGGUACCCCUGUUUUAGGGUACCGACAAAUAUGUUUUUAAUGAUUUACAAAAUGACUUUAGCUCUACUAAAAAGUUACUUUUUUGGAAAAGCUAAAGUUAGCGUUGUUUUUGAGUAAGCAAGAGUUCUAUCAAACAUACCUUUAUUAGAUGGAUUAUAUAAGGAGAUCAUUGUGUGCUUAUCUAAUGUAUUAGAUGAAUGUUCGUGCGUUGCUAUGGAGUGAACACGUUAUGAAAGAUAUAUUGAAAUUCAAAAAGAUUAGUCAGCCGAUAUUUUUUAUUUAAAGCUUGCUCAACAUGUACAAAUCUUGAUAGUAUGAUAUGUUUGGUAUAGUAUGGACGAGAGAAAUCUUCAUAGUAAUGAAAUUGUAGAUUGUUGUUUUAUAUUGUCAGGGCACCUGAGAUUCAUGCCCUUAAAUGUGUAGCCGUGGUGGAAUGUUUGUAGCCUUUUCCGAUUUUACAAUAUACCUAACUAUAUCUUUAGAGCCUGUUUGGUUCCUAAGAAAUGGUCACCCGUAACUAUUCCUAGCCAGAUUAUUUGUCUAAUUAAUAUAGGGUUUGAUGAACUGGAACAAUUUUGAGGUGAAUUUCGGCUCAAACGAACAUGUCCUUAUUGAUUUAGCUAGAGAGAUGCGAGGAAAACACUUGUUAGUAUUGUGACUUUGGUGGUGGUGGACAGAAUAGACACAUAGGAAGGCACAUCAGAGGUGGCACUGGAGCCGAUGUUGAUAAUGUGCAAAUGGUGUCACACUUCCUCUCGAGUCUCGACCAUGCCUGGCAGCACAACACGCGUGACCCGCGUGACGCCCUGGACGUUGACCUAGAUCAGGCGACACAUGAGCUCCUCGUCCACCUCGUGGAAGUAGCGUAUGUACGGAUAAGACAACUCGUCGUGGCCCUGGAUGUACGAAUAAGACAACUCGUCGUGGCCCUGGAUGGAGUCUUGAGCGCCUCGACGUCGGCCACGAGCCCCUCGAGUUCCUUAUCAGAGGUGCGAGCAUCGAGGAGGAGGCAAAUGGUGAAGGUGAGGGAGGGGACCAUGGGGGUCUGUCAUGGCGGGGCAGGGGGUCGGGGAGGCAGGGGCAACACGCGAGGUGUCACACCCGGUUUUAAGGGCAUACACGUGUGCGUCUCAUAUGUGCGCCAAACAAGAUCAACACAUACAAUGUGUAUAGUGACAAAUGUCAUAAUUUUUAUUAUAUAAUGAAAAUGUCUUACAAAAUAACUGAUAAUAAAUAACGUGAACUAAUAUUAUUAUCCCUCGGUGCCAUUAAGCUGACAGGGAGAAGACACAUAGAUCUCGUCAUAGUAGUCCUCUGGGGGCACCUGCUCUUCACCUGAGGGGUUAUUGCAAGGGUGAGCUCACAAAUGUUAAUCGCUCAACAAGUUUGGGGAAUAAUGUGCAUGAGCUCACUUACGGUGGGGCUCAUAUGUAGUGUAAGGCUGAUCAACAAAUAAUGGUUAAAGCAUUGCUUUUAAUAAGUUGGUCAAAAUUUUAUCAACAAUUACUAAAAAAGUGUAUAUCAUCUCAAUAAAAUAAGAGAUAGUGAAAGGGAGAUAGGCUUACACCUAUUUUCCUAAUUGAUUUUGGUGGUUGAAUUGCCCAACACAAAUAAUUGGACUAACUAGUUUGCCCUAUUGUAUAGAUUAUACAGGUGUAAAAGGUUCACACUUAGCCAAUAAAAAGAUCAAGUAUUGGAUUUCAACAAAGGAGCAAAGGGGCAACCGAAGGCACCUCUGGUCUGGGGGCACCGGACUGUCCGGUGCACCAGAGGACUCCAACUCAAACUUGCCACCUUCGGGAAUUUCCAGAGGCACUCCGCUAUAAUUCACCGGACUGUCCGGUGUACACCGGACAGUGUCCGGUGCUCCAAGGAAGAGCGGCCUCCGGAACUCGCCAGCCUCGGGAAAACGCAGCGGCUGCUCCGCUAUAAUUCACCGGACAUGUCCGGUGUACACCGGACUGUCCGGUGAACCAGCAGAGCAACGACUACUUCGCGCCAACGGUCACCUGCAGGCGCAUUUAAUGCGCGCCAGAAGCGCGCAGAAGUCAGGCACGCCCAUACUGGCGCACCGGAUAUUGAACAGUUCAUGUCCGGUGUGCACCGGACAUCCAGGCGGGCCCAGAAGACAGAAGCUCCAACGGUCGGAAUCCAACGACAUUGGUGACGUGGCUGGCGCACCGGACAUGUCCGGUGUACACCGGACUGUCCGGUGCACCAUACGACAGACAGCCUCCACCAACGGUCAUGUUUGGUGGUUGGGGCUAUAAAUACCCCAACCACCCCACCAUUCAUUGCAUCCAAGUUUUCCAGCUUCCAACCACUAUACAAGAGCUAGCAUUCAUUGCAAAGCACACCAAAAGAGAUCAAAUCCUCUCCCAACUCCUCACAAAGCCUUAGUGACUAGAGAGAGUGAUUUGUAGUGUUCAUUUGAGCUCUUGCGCUUGGAUCGCUUAUUUUCUUUCGCAUUCUUUCUUGUGAUCAUACUCACUUGUAAUUGAGGCAAGAGACACAAAUUGUGUGGUGGUCCUUGCGGGAAGUUUGAUUCCCAAGUGAUUUGAGAAGAGAAGCUCACUCGGUCCGAGGGACCGUUUGAGAGAGGGAAGGGUUGAAAGAGACCCGUCCAUUGUGGCCUCCUCAACGGGGAGUAGGUUUGCGAGAACCGAACCUCGGUAAAACAAAUCCUUGUGUCUCACCGCUUUACUCGCUUGCGAUUUGUUUUACACCCUCUCGCGGACUCAGUUUUAUUUCUAACGCUAACCCGGCUUGUAGUUGUAUUUAUAUUUGUAAAUUUCAGUUUCGCCCUAUUCACCCCCCUCUAGGCGACUAUCAAUUGGUAUCAGAGCCCGGUGCUUCAUUAGAGCCUAACCGCUCGAAGUGAUGUCGGGAGAUCACGCCAAGAAGGAGAUGGAGACCGGCGAAAAGCCCACUACAAGCCACGGGAGCGCUUCAUCGGAAGAGUCCCGCACCAAGAGAAAGGAGAAGAAAGACUCCUUAAAAGGGAAGGAGAAGAAGAAGGACUCCUCCAAAGGGAAGGAGAAGAAAUCUUCUUCACACAAAGAGAAGAAGGAGAAAUCCUCUUCUCACAAGCCUCGUCGGAGUGGGGACAAGAAAAAGAAGAUGAGGAAAGUGGUCUACUACGAGACCGACUCUUCAUCAACAUCCACCUCCAGCUCCGACGUGGCGUCCUUCACUUCUAAGCGCCAAGAGCGCAAGAAGUAUAGUAAGAUUCCCCUACGCUACCCUCGCAUUUCUAAACAUACACCUUUACUUUCCGUCCCAUUAGGCAAACCACCAACAUUUGAUGGUGAGGAUUAUGCUAGGUGGAGUGAUUUAAUGCGAUUUCAUCUAACCUCACUCCACAAAAGUAUAUGGGAUGUUGUUGAGUUUGGUGCACAGGUACCAUCCGUAGGGGAUGAAGACUAUGAUGAGGAUGAGGUAGCCCAAAUCGAGCACUUCAACUCUCAAGCAACAACAAUACUCCUCGCCUCUCUAAGUACAGAGGAGUAUAACAAAGUGCAAGGGUUGAAGAGCGCUAAGGAGGUUUGGGAUGUGCUCAAAACCGCACACGAAGGAGAUGAGCUGACAAAGAUCACCAAGCGGGAGACGAUCGAGGGGGAGCUCGGUCGGUUCCGGCUUCGCAAAGGGGAGGAGCCACAAAACAUGUACAACCGACUCAAGACCUUGGUGAAUCAAGUGCGCAACCUCGGGAGCAAAAAGUGGGAUGACCACGAGGUGGUUAAGGUUAUUCUAAGAUCUCUUAUUUUCCUUAACCCUACUCAAGUUCAAUUAAUCCGUGGCAACCCAAGAUAUACACUAAUGACCCCUGAGGAAGUAAUCGGGAAUUUUGUAAGUUUUGAGUGCAUGAUCGAAGGCUCAAGGAAGAUCAACGAGCUUGAUGAUCCCUCCACAUCCGAAGCUCAACCCAUCGCAUUCAAGGCGACGGAGGAAAAGAAGGAGGAGUCUACACCAAGUAGACAACCAAUCGACGCCUCCAAGCUCGACAAUGAGGAAAUGGCGCUCGUCAUCAAGAGCUUCCGCCAAAUCCUCAAACAAAGGAGGGGGAAAGACUGCAAGCCCCGCUCCAAGAAGGUUUGCUACAAAUGUGGUAAGCCCGGUCACUUUAUAGCCAAAUGUCCUAUUUCUAGUGACAGUGACAGGGGCGAUGACAAGAAGGGCAAGAGGAGAGAAAAGAAGAGGUACCACAAGAAGAGGGGCGGCGAUGCCCACGUGUGCCGCGAGUGGGACUCCGACGAGAGCUCCACCGACUCCUCCUCCGACGAGGACGCCGCCAACAUCGCCGUCACCAAGGGACUCCUCUUCCCCAACGUCGGCCACAAGUGCCUCAUGGCAAAGGACGGCAAAAAGAAGAAGGUUAAAUAUAAAUCCUCCACUAGAUAUGAAUCCUCUAGUGAUGAAAAUGUUAGUGAUGAGGAAGAUAACUUGCGAUCUCUUUUUGCCAACCUCAACAUGCAACAAAAAGAGAAACUUAAUGAAUUGAUUAGUGCCAUUCAUGAAAAGGAUGAUCUCUUGGACACCCAAGAGGACUUCCUUAUUAAAGAAAAUAAGAAGCAUGUUAAGGUUAAAAAUGCUUAUGCCCUAGAAAUAGAAAAAUGUGAAAAAUUGUCUAGUGAGCUAAGCACUUGCCAUGAGACUAUAGACAACCUUAGAAAUGAGAAUGCUAAUUUGUUAGCUAAGGUUGAUUCUCAUAUUUGUAAUGAUUUAAGUUCCAAUCCUAGAGAUAAUAAUGAUGAUUUACUUGCUAGGAUUAAAGAUUUGAACAUUUCACUUGCUAGCCUUAGAAAUGAAAAUGAAAAAUUGCUUGCUAAGGCUAAAGAUUUUGAUGUUUGCAAUGUUACUAUUUCUAACCUUAGAAGUGAAAGCGGCAUAUUACAUGCUAAGGUUGUAGAAUUAAAAUCUUGCAAAACUCCUACAUCUAUAGUUGAGCAUGUAUCUAUUUGUACUAGAUGUAGAGAUAUUGAUGUUGAUGCUAUUCAUGAUCACAUGACUUUAAUUAAACAACAAAAUGAUCAUAUAGCAAAACUAGAUGCUAAAAUUGCCGAGCAUAACUUAGAAAAUGAAAAAUUUAAAUUUGCUAGAACUAUGCUCUAUAGUGGGAGACGUCCUGGCAUCAAGGAUGGCAUUGGCUUCCAAAGGGGAGACAACGUUAAACUUAAUGCCCCUCCUAAAAGAUUGUCUAAUUUUGUAAAGGGCAAGGCUCCCAUGCCUCAGGAUAACGAGGGUUACAUUUUAUACCCUGCCGGUUAUCCUGAGGACAAAAUUAGGAGAAUUCAUUCUAGGAAGUCUCACUCUGGCCCUAACCAUGCUUUUAUAUAUAAGGGUGAGACAUCUAGCUCUAGGCAACCAACCCGUGCCAAGUUGCCUAAGAAGAAAACUCCUAGUGCAUCAAAUGAACAUAGCCUUUCAUUUAAAACUUUUGAUGCAUCUUAUGUGUUGACUAACAAAUCCGACAAAGUAGUUGCCAAAUAUGUUGGGGGCAAGCACAAGGGGUCAAAAACUUGUGUUUGGAUACCCAAAGUUCUUGUUUCUAAUGCCAAAGGACCCAAAACCAUUUGGGUACCUAAAGUCAAGAACUAAACUUGUUUUGUAGGUUUAUGCAUCCGGGGGCUCAAGUUGGAUCAUCGACAGCGGGUGCACAAACCACAUGACAGGGGAGAAGAAAAUGUUCUCCUCCUAUGAGAAAAACCAAGAUCCCCAACGAGCUAUCACAUUCGGGGAUGGAAAUCAAGGUUUGGUCAAAGGUCUUGGUAAAAUAGCUAUAUCUCCUGACCAUUCUAUUUCCAAUGUCUUUCUUGUAGAUUCAUUAGAUUACAAUUUGCUUUCCGUUUCUCAAUUAUGUCAAAUGGCUACAACUGUUUAUUCACUGAUGUAGGUGUCACUGUCUUUAGAAGAAGUGAUGAUUCAAUAGCAUUUAAGGGAGUGUUAGAGGGUUAGCUAUACUUGGUAGAUUUUGAUAGAGCUGAACUUGACACUUGCUUAAUUGCUAAGACUAACAUGGGUUGGCUCUGGCACCGCCGACUGGCCCAUGUUGGGAUGAAGAACCUUCAUAAGCUUCUAAAGGGAGAACACAUUUUAGGACUAACAAAUGUUCAUUUUGAGAAAGACAGGAUUUGUAGUGCAUGCCAAGCAGGAAAGCAAGUUGGUGUCCAUCAUCCACACAAGAACAUCAUGACGACCGACAGGCCGCUUGAGCUACUCCACAUGGAUCUAUUCGGCCCGAUUGCUUACAUAAGCAUCGGCGGGAGUAAGUAUUGUCUUGUAAUUGUGGAUGAUUAUUCUCGCUUCACUUGGGUAUUCUUUUUGCAGGAAAAAUCUCAAACCCAAGAGACCUUAAAAGGAUUCUUGAGACAGGCUCAAAAUGAGUUCGCUUUAAGGAUCAAGAAAAUAAGAAGCGACAACGGGACAAAGUUCAAGAACUCUCAAAUUGAAGGCUUCCUUGAGGAGGAGGGCAUCAAGCAUGAGUUCUCUUCUCCCUACACGCCACAGCAAAAUGGUGUAGUGGAGAGGAAGAAUCGAACUCUAUUGGACAUGGCAAGAACCAUGCUUGAUGAGUACAAGACUUCAGAUCGGUUUUGGGCCGAGGCGGUCAACACCGCUUGCUACGCCAUCAACCGGUUAUAUCUUCACCGAAUCCUCAAGAAGACAUCAUAUGAACUCCUAACCGGUAAAAAGCCCAACAUUUCAUAUUUUAGAGUCUUUGGUAGCAAAUGCUUUAUUCUUGUUAAGAGAGGUAGAAAAUCUAAAUUUGCUCCUAAGACUGUAGAAGGCUUUUUACUAGGAUAUGAUUCAAACACAAGGGCAUAUAGAGUCUUUAACAAGUCCUCUGGACAAGUUGAAGUUUCUUGUGACGUUGUGUUUGAUGAGACUAAUGGCUCUCAAGUAGAGCAAGUUGAUCUUGAUGAGACAGGUGAUGAAGAGGCUCCGUGCAUCGCGCUAAGGAACAUGUCCAUUGGGGAUGUGUGUCCUAAGGAAUCCGAAGAGCCUCCAAAUACACAAGAUCAAUCGUCCUCCUCCACACAAGCAUCUCCUCCGACUCAAAAUGAGGAUGAAGCUCAAGUUGAUGAAGUAGAAGAUCAAGCAAAUGAGCCACCUCAAGAUGACGACAAUGAUCAAGGGGGAGAUGCAAAUGAUCAAGACAAGGAGGAUGAAGAGCAAAGACCGGCACACCCAAGAGUCCACCAAGCAAUCCAACGAGAUCACCCCGUCGACACCAUCCUCGGCGACAUUCAUAAGGGGGUAACUACUAGAUCUCGUGUUGCACAUUUUUGUGAACAUUACUCUUUUGUUUCCUCUAUUGAGCCGCACAGGGUAGAGGAAGCACUUCAAGAUUCGGAUUGGGUGGUGGCGAUGCAAGAGGAGCUCAACAACUUCACUAGGAAUGAGGUAUGGCAUUUAGUUCCACGUCCUAAUCAAAAUGUUGUAGGAACCAAAUGGGUCUUUCGCAACAAGCAAGAUGAGCAUGGUGUGGUGACAAGGAACAAAGCUCGACUUGUGGCCAAGGGAUACUCCCAAGUCGAAGGUUUGGAUUUCGGUGAAACUUAUGCACCCGUAGCUAGGCUUGAGUCAAUUCGCAUAUUAUUAGCCUAUGCUACUUACCAUGGCUUUAAGCUUUAUCAAAUGGACGUGAAAAGUGCCUUCCUCAAUGGACCAAUCAAGGAAGAGGUCUAUGUUGAGCAACCUCCCGGCUUUGAAGACAGUGAGUAUCCUAACCAUGUCUAUAAGCUCUCUAAGGCGCUUUAUGGGCUCAAGCAAGCCCCAAGCGCAUGGUAUGAAUGCCUUAGAGAUUUUCUUAUUGCAAAUGGAUUCAAAGUCGGAAAGGCCGAUCCUACUCUAUUUACUAAAACUCUUGAAAAUAACUUGUUUGUAUGCCAAAUUUAUGUUGAUGAUAUUAUAUUUGGGUCUACUAACGAGUCUACAUGUGAAGAAUUUAGUAGGAUCAUGACACAAAAGUUCGAGAUGUCUAUGAUGGGGGAGUUGAAGUAUUUCUUAGGAUUUCAAGUAAAGCAACUCCAAGAGGGCACCUUCAUUAGCCAAACAAAGUAUACUCAAGACAUUCUAAACAAGUUUGGGAUGAAGGAUGCCAAGCCCAUCAAGACACCCAUGGGAACUAAUGGGCAUCUCGACCUCGACACGGGAGGUAAGUCCGUGGAUCAAAAGCUAUAUCGGUCGAUGAUAGGUUCUUUACUCUAUUUAUGUGCAUCUCGACCGGAUAUUAUGCUUUCCGUAUGCAUGUGUGCAAGAUUCCAAGCCGACCCUAAGGAAGCUCACCUUACGGCCGUAAAACGAAUCUUGAGAUAUUUGGCUUAUACUCCUAAGUUUGGGCUUUGGUAUCCUAGGGGAUCCACUUUUGAUUUAAUUGGUUAUUCGGAUGCCGAUUGGGCAGGGUGUAAAAUCAAUAGGAAGAGCACAUCGGGGACUUGCCAGUUCUUGGGAAGAUCCUUGGUGUCUUGGGCUUCAAAGAAGCAAAAUUCGGUCGCUCUUUCCACCGCCGAAGCCGAGUACAUUGCCGCAGGCCAUUGUUGCGCGCAAUUGCUUUGGAUGAGGCAAACCCUGCGGGACUACGGUUACAAGUUAACCAAAGUCCCUUUACUAUGUGAUAAUGAGAGUGCAAUCAAGAUGGCGGAUAAUCCCAUCGAGCAUAGCCGCACUAAACACAUAGCCAUUCGAUAUCACUUUUUGAGGGAUCACCAACAAAAGAGAGAUAUCGAGAUUUCUUACAUUAACACUAAAGAUCAAUUAGCCGAUAUCUUUACCAAGCCUCUUGAUGAACAAACUUUUAACAAACUUAGGCAUGAGCUAAACAUUCUUGAUUCUAGGAAUUUCUUUUGCUAAAUUGCACACAUAGCUCAUUUAUAUACCUUUGAUCAUGUCUCUUUCAUAUGCUAUGACUAAUGUGUUUUCACGUCUAUUUCAAACCAAGUCAUAGGUGUAUUGAAAGGGAAUUGGAGUCUUCGGUGAAGACAAAGGCUUCCACUCCGUAACUCAUUCUUCGCCAUCACUCCAAGCAACUCUCCAUUUUUGGGGGAGAAACUAUGAGCACAAAGACAAAGGACUCCACCUUUGGUAUAAUCUUCACUUAUUUAUUUAUGUCCAAAGGGGGAGAAAGUUCUAAUGAAGGCUCUAAUGAUUCCGUUUUUGGCGAUUCAUGCCAAAGGGGGAGAGAGUAUGAGCCCAAAGCAAAAGGACCGCACCACCACCAAUUUCAAAAACUUAGUUUUUCAAAGGGUAUUUUCAUUUGGUAUCCUAUUGUGUUCAAAAGGGGGAGAAAGUAGUAUUUCAAAAAUGAUAUAUCAAAACCCUCUUGAACACUAAGAGGAGGAUCUCAUUUAGGGGGAGUUUUGUUUAGUCAAAGGAAAAGCAUUUGAAACAGGGGGAGAAAAUUUCAAAUCUGGAAAAUGCUUUGCAAAAUCUUAUUCAUUUACCUUUGACUAUUUGCAAAAGAACUUUGAAAAAGGAUUCACAAAAGAAUUUGCAAAAACAAAACAUGUGGUGCAAGCGUGGUCCAAAAUGCUAAAAUGAAGAAACGAUCCAUGCAUAUCUUGUAAGUAUUUAUAUUGGCUCAAUUCCAAGCAACCUUUGCACUUACAUUAUGCAAACUAGUUCAAUUAUGCACUUCUCUAUUUGCUUUGGUUUGUGUUGGCAUAAAUCACCAAAAAGGGGGAGAUUGAAAGGGAAUUAGGCUUACACCUAUUUUCCUAAUUGAUUUUGGUGGUUGAAUUGCCCAACACAAAUAAUUGGACUAACUAGUUUGCCCUAGUGUAUAGAUUAUACAGGUGUAAAAGGUUCACACUUAGCCAAUAAAAAGAUCAAGUAUUGGAUUGCAACAAAGGAGCAAAGGGGCAACCGAAGGCACCUCUGGUCUGGGGGCACCGGACUGUCCGGUGUACACCGGACAGUGUCCGGUGCACCACCGGACAGUGUCCGGUGCACCAGAGGACUCCAACUCAAACUUGCCACCUUCGGGAAUUUCCAGAGGCACCCUGCUAUAAUUCACCGGACUGUCCGGUGUACACCGGACAGUGUCCGGUGCUCCAAGGAAGAGCGGCCUCCGGAACUCGCCAGCCUCGGGAAAACGCAGCGGCUGCUCCGCUAUAAUUCACCGGACAUGUCCGGUGUACACCGGACUGUCCGGUGAACCAGCAGAGCAACGACUACUUCGCGCCAACGGUCACCUGCAGGCGCAUUUAAUGCGCGCCAGAAGCGCGCAGAAGUCAGGCACGCCCAUACUGGCGCACCGGACAUUGAACAGUACAUGUCCGGUGUGCACCGGACAUCCAGGCGGGCCCAGAAGACAGAAGCUCCAACGGUCGGAAUCCAACGGCAUUGGUGACGUGGCUGGCGCACCGGACAUGUCCGGUGUACACCGGACUGUCCGGUGCACCAUACGACAGACAGCCUCCACCAACGGUCAUGUUUGGUGGUUGGGGCUAUAAAUACCCCAACCACCCCACCAUUCAUUGCAUCCAAGUUUUCCAGCUUCCAACCACUAUAGAAGAGCUAGCAUUCAUUGCAAAGCACACCAAAAGAGAUCAAAUCCUCUCCCAACUCCUCACAAAGCCUUAGUGACUAGAGAUAGUGAUUUGUAGUGUUCAUUUGAGCUCUUGCGCUUGGAUCGCUUCUUUUCUUUCGCAUUCUUUCUUGUGAUCAUACUCACUUGUAAUUGAGGCAAGAGACACCAAUUGUGUGGUGGUCCUUGCGGGAAGUUUGAUUCCCAAGUGAUUUGAGAAGAGAAGCUCACUCGGUCCGAGGGACCGUUUGAGAGAGGGAAGGGUUGAAAGAGACCCGGCCUUUGUGGCCUCCUCAACGGGGAGUAGGUUUGCGAGAACCGAACCUCGGUAAAACAAAUCCUUGUGUCUCACCGCUUUACUCGCUUGCGAUUUGUUUUACACCCUCUCGCGGACUCGGUUUUAUUUCUAACGCUAACCCGGCUUGUAGUUGUAUUUAUAUUUGUAAAUUUUAGUUUCGCCCUAUUCACCCCCCUCUAGGCGAUUGCCGAGACCUAGCGUACCCACCGUAGCUGCAGAGAGAGAGAGAGAGAGAGAGAGAGAUAAGGCCGCAGUAGGUGGAACGCGCUUCCAUCGUCGAUUGACCUUCGGUGGAUGACCAGGGAUGGUUGCUAGGACGUGUUGAAGCCGCGAUGACCACCAGUCCGAAGGAGGGCACAAAUCCUUGGCAAUUUCUCACCGGAGUCGACUCCGUCCGUCGGUCCGUUCGCGGGAGGGACUGAUCGAGCGUCUCGCCGACAUUGGGCCACCGCGGGGCAGGGCGGCACCGCCACGCACUGGGUGGCUGUGAGGUGAGGGAUGGCUGUGAGCCACUAAUCCUGCUUUAGACGGAAUAGAUUAGAUGAGGGAAUAACCCUUGGGUCGGUUUGAUCAGGACCAUUGAUCAUCGGUCGAGGGCUAGGAUCGGAUCAUUGCGUGGACAUAAUUUGGGUCGUGGAUCUGUGAUCCUACAGCUAGGACUCGUACCAGUUCAUAAAUUCGGGUGGAUCUAAUCUAGGCCACAUGUUUCUGAUCCAGUGGCUUAGAUCGGAACGUACCCCUUCCGUGUGAAAAAGUUUCUAAAGAGUCCCUGAUCUUUUCAUUAAUAAACCCGCCAUACCUUGCCAUUAUAAGAUCAUUACGGUUUGGCCCACAUAUUUAUAGAUCAGUCCUUGACCUUUGGGAAUUUAAUGUCGUCGUCCAUUUUUUAGUUAACAGCAAUAAUCAAAUCUGGAAAUUGAUUUCUAAGCGUUAAAAUAAUCCCAAAAAUCAUAGAAAAUCCAUAAAUAAUUUAUUCUAACUCCGAUGUGACACGUUCGAAUUGCGUUGGAUUCAUACUAAUAUUACCUACACAGUAUAACACUAAUCUUUACCAUAUCACAUACUUUUGUAAUUAGGUACUUAUUUAUCCUAUGCAUAGUAGAUUAAUCUAUCUAAUUAAAGAAAUAUGUUUAUAAUUAUAAUUUGAAUAGAAGAUGAUCUUUAACUAAGAUAUGACUUAUAUUAAAGUUAAUCCUUAAUGUAUAUCUCACUUGAUUUAUAAAAUCAAUCUAAGGCCUAGUUUUAAUUAUUUAAUCAUGAAAAUCUUCUUAAAACCAUACCUUCUUAACCAUAACUCUUAUUUUAGUGAUUCUCGAACCCGCGAUCUCGUGGCGACGAGUAAAAUAUUCUUACGUUGUUUGUUCUCAUAUUUGGCGUAUUGUUAUUUUAAGUACUUCUUGUAUAUUUGUAUGUAUCACUACGAGUAGCAGCGAGAUUACGAGUAACCUGAAGACCAAUUUGGUGAGGUACCUAGGAUCUCAAGUCUAAGGCAAGUUGUGCCCUUGAUCACUUUUCUUUGCCUAAUAAUGUUCAUGUUAAUCACUGUGACAUGCUCAAGUUAAUUUGAUGGGACCUAAUAGGUUUCCCUAGUAUUGUUUAUCCCACACCUUGCAAAGAAAUGAACUAUUGGAUAGAUUUGCUAUUGCUCUGCCUGGUUUUGAGAAAUUAAUGAUAUAUAUGAUCAUGUUCCAUUAAUACUAAUGGUUUAUUUAUUGUUCAUGAUAAGAUUAUUGAAUUAAUUGGAACAUGGAGAACCACCCGGGAAAACAAUACUACCACAAGGAUGGAAUGGGACGCCAUUGGCCAAGUAAUUAGGAAAGAUAGAGAGAGAUUAUCUUACCCAAAAAGGGCACGCGGGAAGGCGUCGCUGCAGAGUAUAGGGAGGUCCUCGAGUCGAUCUGUUGCAAUGGCAUUUCGAACGAGAGAUUCCUAUGCUUCCUUCUUCCUGAAUCCUUAGCGGGUUUUCUCGAACUAGUGGAACUUUAGAAAGGCCUCAUAAUGCUACCCUGCCUCACCUCCUCGGUAGAGGUAUAUGAGAUUCAUGACCUCGUGGCAGAUGGGUAACACGACUUGCGGGUAAAGAUAUGCAACCUCUGCAGAGUGUAAAACUGGUAUAUCAGUCGUGCUCACAGUUAUGAGCAGCUUGGAAACUCACAUGAUUAACUUAUGGAAUUAAACUUAAUUUGUCAUUUGCAUUGCAUUGCAUUGUGGGUGUUAUCAUUAAUUGUGACUGCUAAUAAAAUUUUAUUUGGCUUGGUAUCUACUUAUACUUAGUAAUUGCUAAUAAAAUUUUGACCAACUCUAAAAGCAAUGCUCAGCUUUAACCAUCUCCAUUGGUAAGCCUUACACUUCACAUGAGCCCCACUAUAAGGGAGCUCAUGCACAUUAUUCCCCACAACAUGUUGAGCGAUGAACGUAUGUGAGCUCAUCCUUGCUGUACUCACAUUCCCCUAAGGUCAAGAACAGGUACCACAGGAUGAUGAGCAUGAAGGAUGCCGCGAUGAGUUCGUGAGAGGUCUAGGCCGUCGUCUCAUAGUCAACUAUGGUUGCUGGAUCGUUGUCUUCGUAUGAUGUAAUUAUUUAAAUAUUUUGUACAGAACUCCAUUAUAUAUUAAAGAUGUGACAUUCGUUUCUAUACCAUGAGUCAUCAUAUGUGUGAUACUUGAUCCUAUCACACAUUUGAGAUGCACCUGGGUUUACCCCUUAAAUCCGGGCGUGACACUAUUUGUAGCCACCGAGGAUUGGUUGUGGAUGCCAGCUGGAGCCCACAACGCUCGCAGGGGUUUGUUACUGAAGCGUCCCGGUCCUUUGGGACUCAAAUGUGAUACAAUUACUAGUCCUAGGAGGCUAGUAACCACAUUCCUUACUUCAAAUAGUACAGAGUUCGAAUAAAAGUUAUUACAAUACCAAAGUACAAGCUCUAGCGAGCCUGGAAUGCAAAGCACAAUGGAAGAUCAAAUAGCCCAAGCCACAUGCAGAUUGGGUGCAGACACAACCCCCUUCUGGUCGAGCAUAGCAGAAAAGAAGUCUUCAGCUGCUGAAAAACAUAAAUAAAUCUGGGUAAAUACACUAGGUAUUCCGCAAGCCCAUCCCGCCCGUAAAGACAGAGAGAGGCCUAUAUAGUACAUGCUUGAUAUGGUGGAGUUGAAGUCACUCUUCUUUUUCAGAAGAAGGCAAUACUUUGAUGGUUUUCCCCAAAGAAAGAAGUAGCAUAAUUUCACACUCAACCAGCACUGAGGUUCCCGCUCCCGUGGCAUUGUUUUCAUUUCCAAAAACACUUACACACACAUUUCCCUGUUUGCGGAGAUCAUAAACACUAAUUGUCAUACCACACCAGACUCGUCCAUACCAGUGGACACAGACUAUUCGAAUAGGUUUGAACUCUGCGCAGAGGGGUACACUUUACCCACUAGUCCGACUCUGCUGUCUCAUGGCCAAUGAGACCCGAAUCCAAAUAUCUUUCUUUCCCCGCAUGUCCUUACCUUAGCGGUUAUACCGGAAGGAGUCAGGCCACCACCAUGCCCAAACCGGACAAAACAUUCCCCCUCCUUAUCCUCCCGGUGCUCCCCAACCAUCAUAACCCUGGGGUUCAGACCAUACGAGUUUAGAUUGAGUGACUGCCCAUACAGUCUCGAGUGGUUGUACUUGUCAUGAGUACAUGUAGUGAAGGAUGACAAACCAGUCCUUAUAUGAGGGGACAAUCCUUAUGCUCACAUCUAACCCGGCUCAGCCAACACCUGAGGCCCUCCCCUAAACCAGGGAGCCCCUGAUUAUCCCACUCAAAAGGUGAUAAGGGUGAAUACCCUUCAUCAUACACUUUUUGAAAACAUUAUUCAUUAAAAACACCACCCUUUUCUCAUCCCACAUUUUGUACUCAAAAGAUAUUCUUUAAUGCGGGCUAUCUGUCACACCCGGUUUUGGAAGGUAAACCGAAUGCGAACCAUGUACGUGCCAGGAUCAGAAACUCACGUACACAGCUAUUACAUAAUUGGACAUCAUCACACAAUGCUCGAAAUAAAUAGCGGAAAGGUACUUGAUUACAUCAAGAUGUCUGAGACAUCCACAGAGUCUAUUACAUAACCAUUGUUCAACAUAAUUAUCAAAGUGUGGAAUUACGAAACGUAGAUGCUAAGCCUACACAGGCAGCUGACUGGGGGUUUGCCACUAAGAAAGGACUAGAACUCGUCAUAUUCCUGGAACUCCUCGAAGUCAUCCAUGUUGCUAGAAUCACCUCCUGAGCACUGAGUACACUGGGGACAACCUGGGGUGGGGUGGUGUGUAAAGCAAGUGUGAGUACACAUCAACGUACUCAGCAAAUGUCCCGUUUGGCUAAAGUGGACUAGCUGUAUGUGGAGUUUGAGGUUAAGCAGUUGCUUUUAGUUGGUCAAGUUUUUAUUAUUAUCAGUAGAGCCAAGUUUUAGUAAUAAACCCAGUUAUUACCCAGAAGUACCUCCUCAAAAGAGGAAAUACCAGAGAUCAGACUUUAUAUCAUCAUUGUUAACAAUCAUCAUAAAAGUAUCCAAAGUUCUUCUAAUCAAAGAGGAUCCCAAGGCUGCUCUUAACCGUGAGCUCGACUGAUAUACUAGUUUUUAACACUCUGCAGAGGUUGUACACUUUACCCACAAGUCGUGAUCCCUUUCCAGCCUGGGUUGUACAGACCCAAUCUUCACUACCAAGGUGAAUGACCAGGGACACACUACGUAGCCUUUACAAAGACUCCCCUGGUGCAUAGUUGCUCAUUAGGUUUCACCAGUCGUAUAAACGCAGUACACCUCUCCAAGAUGGGUGACUAACAAAACCAAAUCGAAAAGAACCUCUGCACCCCAACCUUGGCAGAGCGAGCACUACGCCCCGACCCCCGUUGACGGCCCUCCGGCAAAGCCAACUAUACCCCUGAUUCAUCUAAUUAAUCUGCUAAGGGCGUCCCAUUCCACCCUCAUGGUUAUACUAUUAUCCCGGGUGGUCACUCCACGAACAGGACCUUACAGAGAGGUACUCAGGAAAAAGGCCUGAGCCCCCUAAGGUAUCACAAUAUCAUCCACAUAAUCAGGAUAACAGUAUCGUAUCAUAAAUGUUCACAUCAUGUUUAUUGAUUAAGAUAAGGCAAUAGCAACAUCCUAACCAUGAUAACCCAAAAGGUAAACAAGGAUAAGGUAAAUAUAGACUAGUCAAUCCUUAGGUUUCAUAAAUGAAGCGUCCCAAUCCUCUGGGACUCAAAUGUGAUACAAUUACUAGUCCCAGGAGGCUAGUAAACACAUUUAUACAUCAGAUGAUUCCAGAUCUGCUUAAACGAGACAAACCUAUAAAGGUGGCGAACAACUUUAAGAGUUGGUCCACAACUCGAGACAUAUCAUCAGAGUGGGGCUGAAGCAGCCCGAUAUACGCAGCGAAGCAAUUCAGCGGUCCAACAGCCACAGGCAAGGUUGGGAACAGUCGUAACUCUUACCCGAUCUCCUUUUUCUGAAAAAACAACAAAUAAGCAAGGGUGAGUACAAACGUACUCAGCAGCCCACCUUCACCCGCGGAAUGGGGAAAUCAGAUAUAAUGCAUGGAAUAUGUAGAGCUCAGGAUAUUUGCAGAAACAACAAUAUUUUAUGCAGGGUUGUUUUGAAAAACAUUUUGUAUUUUGCAAAGUGCAUCCUCUCCAAAAGGAGCAGGAAGUUUUUCAGUAUUAUAACAAAAUCCCCUGGACUAAACCAUCCAGGUAUCUCAGCAGUUUCCCACUGGUUUUCCUUUUCAAAAACAGCUACUGGACUUCCCGUCCACCAUAUCUCACGACUCAACCGCUGAACCUUUUUAAAAACCACUUUUCUCAAAACCAUCUCUUUUUUUGGAAAACAAAACAUUAAUUGCCAUACCAUACCAGACUCGUCCAUUCCUGUGGACACAGACUAUUCGAAUAGGUUUUCAAACUCUGCGCAGAGGUGUACACUUUACCCACUAGUUCGGCUCUGCGAUCCCAUGGCCAAUGAGACCCGAAUCCGACUCUCUUUCUUUCCCCGCACGUCCUAACCUUAACGGUUAUCCGGAAGGAGUCAGGCCACCACCAUGUCCAAACCGGACAAAACUUUCCCCCUCCUUAUCCUCCCGGUGCUCCCCAGCCUUCAUAACCCUGGGGUUGGACCGUACGAGUUCAGAUUGAGUGACUGCCCACACAGUCUCGAGUGGUUGUACUAUUAAAGAGUACAGGUAGUGAAGAUGACAAACCGGUCCUUAUAUGAGGGGACAAUCCUUCUGCUCACGCCUAAACCAGCUGAGCCAACACCUUAGGCCCUCCCCUAAACCAGGGAGUCCCUGAUUAUCCCACUCACAAGGUGAUAAGGGUGAAAACCCUUCAUCACACACAUUUUGAAAAGCAUUUUCUUUUGAAAACUCACACCUGUUCUCAAAUCAUUUGGAACAUAUAUAUCAGGGAUUGAUUGCGGCAAGCGGCUGGGUGGCCAUAAUAACUUGUCUCAAAAUCAUAUCAUGCAUAAAAUAACAGGCUGAGGGUUGUGGUUGAAAAAUCAUAGGUAAUUUAUGCAUCAAAGGGAUCCAGUGAGCUUGCCGUGCUUAUUCGGCGAAGGGGGAAGGGGAGCUCGCGGAACUGGCUUCUGGCUCCACCGCCUAGCGUAGACUUGCAGAUCUGGCCUCCACGAGACGGCACGAACGCUCCGAUAACUAUGCAACAUGAACAAGCAAACAUACAAACCAGCAAGUAUACCAACAAAUAUUUAGUAUAGUGGUCAGAAAAGCGAUAUAUGGAUGGGUAGAGUCUUGAGUAGAAUCUGUGUCAUGUGGUGUUGUGAUAUUACUGGUGGUGGAGCGGAGGUGCUUACCAGGAGGGUGGACUGGAGGCGAAGCGACACUAUGCGUGUAGCCGGUAGAGCGGAGUAACUGAGUGGGUGGGGUGUUUGCCUUGGUUGAGGGUGUUGAGUGUGUGUGGAGAGGGAGAGGGUAGUUGGGUGUAUUUAUAGCUGGGUGUAUGUGGUGUAGCACAGUGAAGUUCACUGUUGGUGAGAAUAGUGAUGAAUGAAUCGUCUGACUUAGUAUGAACAAGAGAGUUAUAGGCAGAAUAUGGGACAAGAGUAUUUUGGGAGUCUUCUGGAAUAUGAACCAUGCUUAAGAGAUGACAUGGUUGGAUAGGGAAUAGUUUGAUAAGAAUUUAGAAACAAGAAUUAUUGGAAUCUGAGUUUGGAAGCCUGGUUCGAAGGAAUCUCAAAGUUAAGCGUGCUCAACUUGGGGAAACCUGGGAUGGGUGACCAGAUGGGAAGUUCCCUACUGGAAGAAAAAUCACAGUCAACGGAGUUCGUAUGACUGGAAUAUGGGUCUGGCUGGUCUUAGGUGGACUGGACAACAUGAUGUACGAGUAGUUGAAAUUUGGGAUGACUAGAUGACCGAUGAAUAGUAACGAUGAUUAGUAACGAUGAAUAGUGGCGAUGGAAAAGAAAUUAUAGAUAUCAUCGAUGAAUAGUAACGAUGAUGAAUAGUGUAUGUGAAUAGUAACGAUGAAUAGUAAUGGUGAAUAGUAAUGGUGAAUAGUGAUAGUGAAUAGUUCGUAUGAACGACCGAUGAAUAGGAACUAUGAACGAACAGACGAACGAUCGAAUGAUCGGACGAACGAACGAUCGGAAUUUCGGCAGCAUAACGGCAGGAAAAGAUUAUUUGGACGAACGAACGGACGAACGAUCGAAUGAUCAUACGAACGAACGAUCGGAAUUUCGGCAUCAUAACGGCAGGACAAAGAUUAUCUGGAAGAACGAUGAAUAGGGACUAUGAACGAACGAUGAAUCGACGAAUAGGGACUAUGAACGAACGAUGAACGAUCGAAUGAUCGAACGAACGAACGAUCGGAAUUUCGGCAGCAUAACGGCAGGACAAAAAUUAUCUAGAAGAACGAUGAAUAGGGACUAUGAACGAACGAUGAACGAUGAAUAGGAACUAUGAACGAACGAUGAACGAUCGAAUGAUCGAAUGAACGAACGAUCAGAAUUUCGGCAGCAUAACGGUAGGAAAAAGAUUAUUUGGACGAACGAACGGACGAACGAUCGAACGAUCGGACGAACGGACGAACGAACCAUGAACGAUCAGAUGAACGAUCCAACGAUCGGACGAACGAACGAACAAACUAAGAACAGGGGACGAACGAUCGAAGAACGAUCGAACGAUCCUUGUGCUAGUGUGUGCUUGUGUGGAACAUGGAGUGGGUGUGUGUGGGGGGGGGAGAGUUGCCAUGAAAUGGCUUGGGGUGGGAAGAGAGGAGGCCCUUGCCCCUCUAUUUAUAGCCAUGGUGGGGGGAUUAGGGGGAGGGAUGAGAGGAUUAGUGGGAGGAUGAGAGGAUUAGUGGGAGAUUAGCAUGUAUUUGUCUUGUAUAAGUGAGAUUUGCUUGUAGAGCUCACCGUAUGACACUGGAGGCAUACAUAUACGUAUGAGCAUGAGGAAAGUUAUGAAGAAAAUAUUUAUAGGGACUUGAAAAAUGAUCCUGAAGGUAUUUCUCAGGAGGAAAAUAUCUGGAGAUAUAUCGGUGGAAUAUUUGGGCAGUAUUUCUGGAAAGAACUUGAAGAGGAUCACUAGGGAAAUAUCUGGGCAGUAUUUCUGUAAACAAUUUGAGGGGGAUCACUGAGGAAAUAUUUGUAGGAUAUUUUGAGGAGGAUUUUAGAGAGAAUAUAGACCACUAUACUUUAUUUGUUGAUAUCAACUCGCAAACAAACAUUUUGAAAUGAAAUUUGAAAUUCAUUUUGAAUUUAGAGCAAGUUUGAGAAAGUUUCAGGAUUUGAUUUUUUUGGGAUGCUACAAAUCUACCCCACUUAAAAGGAAUCUCGUCCUCGAGAUUUGGCUUAGAAGGGUUAUGGGUAUAGCUUUACUUCAGCUACAUAUCUUCACUUUGCAGACUCUUCGAGGAGAUAGAGCUUCAACAAAAUCUGGCCUGGCGGAGCAUCUGGUUGCUGAUUGCAAACGCUGAUUCUGGCUACUCACAGAUCAUCUUCAGGCUUCUAGGUUUCGCUUGACAGCUAGCUUAUUGAAGAAGCAUCAAUGCCAACACGCAAACCUUUCUCUUGCGAACUUCCACAUGGAUUCCUUCCUUGAUUGGUCUUCCGGUGCUUCAUCAACACAACUUGGGUGACCACUUCUCAUCCAGAAACUUAUAUGCUUUGAGGAUCUGGUCCUUCACAAGCUCGCUACAGGCCUUCUUCUUUUUCUCCAUAGCAGGAACCUUACUGGAACACUACCCCACUUAAAUGGAAUGAGGGUAGAACUCUUGAAUCUUGGGGAUUUGAACUCCUUGAAGUACCUCAUAACAAGGGUGUUACGGGACCUUCUUCUGCUGUUGCUGCUUGAGCUGGCUGCGGAGGGAUGACUGGCACAAGGUUGAUUCUGGGAGAACCUUCUUCUUAUCUUCUCUUCAAUAUCUUCUUUUCUCUUCUCACUUUUCACUUUUCACUGCCUCUUUCUUUCUCUUUGCUCUUCCCACUGGAGGAGUCUAUCGAUGAGUAUUACCAUCAUACAGAGGAGGAAACCAAAGACUAUGAACCAUGUACAACAGUCUUCAACCCAAGAAUCACCGAGCAUUGUGAUCUUAGGGGCGAGGGAGUGGAAAAUGGAGUUGCUUGCUAUUUGGCAGGGAGGUUUAUCUGGAGUGUGCUUUGCUUUGAGCGAGAUGGGAGUUGAGGGAGCCGAUGGGGGGUUUUAUAGGCGAGCGGGGGUGUUCGGUUGUGGAGUGGCGGUGAUGGAGCAGGUGCUACGCGGCAGCGGGUGCGACAAGGGGAGGGGGCCUGGUGUUGCCGGCGAUGAUGGUGGCGGUGGGUGCGCUGCAAAGGGGGAGUGGGGCGGUGGUAGUGCGCUGCAAAAGGGGGCGUGGGGCGGUGGUAGUGCGCAUGGAGGCGGGCACGCGUGCGAGGGGCACGGGUGAGUGGUGGGGUCGAUGACCCUGAUGUUUGUGGUCUCUGGUUCCAAGAAUCUUUGCCUCUCUGUAUGGUAAUAACUCCUUCUGUCCUCUUUUUCUGUUUACUUUGACUCAGGGGCAGUGCUUUGAUUCUCACGGUCGGCCCUUUUGACUGAGCGACUGAAUAGGUUCCUCUGUAGCUUAUUCCAUGCUUCAAGGGUAAGCUUCUCGGUAUCUUCUUGGGUAAGACACUUUUCUCUUGAGAUGGGUUAAGAUGAGAAUGGAAGCAUAAGGUGAGGAUUAGAUCUAAUUUGAGAUCUAUGUUUUUAGAGAAAACCUUUUUAAGAAAAACGAAAAGAAAACACACAAGCUCAGCAAUGAUAAGCACAAACAAAUCAAAUGUUUUGAAUAAGGGAAGAAUAGAGUUUUUCCAAAGCACGAGCUACUCAGAUUCGGGGGCUAAGCAUAACUACUAUUGCUUGGCUCCUGAAUUGAGAACUAUGCUAAAUGCAACUUAUGAGCACUAACGUUAAAGCAUCACAUAUGCACUCAAAAGGGGAGAAAACAUCAAGCGAAAUUCAUUUUGAAAUGCCCUAGGGGGCCACACAAAUAGAGUUUUUCAAGGCACGGGACUACACGAUUACCUCUCAUACAUGCAGGGCUCUAGCCAAAGUGAAGAAAAACUUCACUACCCAAUGCAUGCAGAGGACUGGGCAUACUAACUUCAGACCAGGCAACUUCUCUUCUGGCAAGGCUGACGCACAACUUCAAUCUGAGAUAUCUCCUGGAUGGGUCAACAUGGAGCUGAUGUUGAUGACUUCUUCUGGCGGCGACUGAGAUGGCAGAACAGGGUCGAACUCUUCUUCAAGCGGGACUGGCUCUUGUAGCUCCUCAGAGGGCGGUGGUGCUGGCGGGGUGCUUGCAGCUUCUUCCUUAACCUCAAGGGAUGGUGCUGGAAUCUUCUUCAUGGUGAGGGGCUCAAACAACUCUGGCGGGGGAUCUUGGGAGGACUCGGGGUGCUCUUGCUUAUUCGUAGCCUGAGGGAAGACUGGAAUUCCUUCCACGACUAUGGAUCCUUCCGGUAGUUCCCAAGCCUUCUUUUCUCCUCUGGUAGAGACCGGGUGACCUUCAAGAAUCUGGGGGUCUUCAGCUCUCCUGGGUUGAACUGGGUUGGAUGGAGCGGGCUCUUGGAUCCGCAGGGCUCUACGUUGGUUAUGGGUUACCAAGUAGGCCUCCAUCAACUUCUGGAUGUGCUCAUCCUUGGCUUGAUUCAGGGCUUCAACAGCAAUGACUUCACGACUCUCCAAGGCAGUUGCACGGGCUUGAGCUGUGGUGAGAUCCACAUGCAGCUGACGGUUGCGCUUCUCUGCAUCUUCUGCUCGGGCAAUCAUCUGACGGUGGUGCCGAGCCAAGAAAUCAUACUGUGCAUCCAGGGUGAGCAGGUAUGCAGUGAGGUACAUGACGGUGGGGUCGUCCUCAAGCAGCUGCUUCCCUUCCAAUGCACGCAUCCUGGCCAUCCAAACUAGACGGUCUCUCUGAAAGGGUGGAAAGAAUCUGAGCGGGGUGUCGACCACUUCUUCUUCGUAGAUCUGACACAGGGCCCUCAAUGCCUUGCGAGCGAUGACUUGGCAGGUGUCUUUGAAUCUGUGCCCAGCAGCAGUGACACUCCAUUCCACAUGGUGUGGACUGGAUCCAAUGUAUACAGUCACGACACACUUCUCUGUGCCAUGCUCGACGAACUCACGACCAUCAUACUCUGGCUGGCUCCUGAUUCCGAGGCGAACUGUGCAUGCUCUCAGCAACUUGGGGAAACCAUCUUCAUUCUGGCAAAAGCUGGUUUGGCACUGAACCUCCAUCUGACUUCUGAGAGAAGGAAAGGGGGAAAACAUUUUUGAAAUGAAGGGAUGCGAGCAAGAAUUUUUUUAAGAAAAUAGUUUGGACUCAAAAACUUUUGGAUCAGGCUAAGGGUUACGUCCUGCGGCCAACCUAACAGCUCCGAUACCACCUGAAGCGUCCCAAUCCUCUGGGACUCAAAUGUGAUACAAUUACUAGUCCCAGGAGGCUAGUAAACACAUUUAUACAUCAGAUGAUUCCAGAUCUGCUUAAACGAGACAAACCUAUAAAGGUGGCGAACAGCUUUAAGAGUUGGUCCACAACUCGAGACAUAUCAUCAGAGUGGGGCUGAAGCAGCCCGAUAUACGCAGCGAAGCAAUUCAGCGGUCCAACAGCCACAGGCAAGGUUGGGAACAGUCGUAACUCUUACCCGAUCUCCUUUUUCUGAAAAAACAACAAAUAAGCAAGGGUGAGUACAAACGUACUCAGCAGCCCACCUUCACCCGUGGAAUGGGGAAAUCAGAUAUAAUGCAUGGAAUAUGUAGAGCUCAGGAUAUUUGCAGAAACAACAAUAUUUUAUGCAGGGUUGUUUUGAAAAACAUUUUGUAUUUUGCAAAGUGCAUCCUCUCCAAAAGGAGCAGGAAGUUUUUCAGUAUUAUAACAAAAUCCCCUGGACUAAACCAUCCAGGUAUCUCAGCAGUUUCCCACUGGUUUUCCUUUUCAAAAACAGCUACUGGACUUCCCGUCCACCAUAGCUCACGACUCAACCGCCGAACCUUUUUAAAAACCACUUUUCUCAAAACCAUCUCUUUUUUGGAAAACAAAACAUUAAUUGCCAUACCAUACCAGACUCGUCCAUUCCUGUGGACACAGACUAUUCGAAUAGGUUUUCAAACUCUGCGCAGGGGUGUACACUUUACCCACUAGUUCGGCUCUGCGAUCCCAUGGCCAAUGAGACCCGAAUCCGACUCUCUUUCUUUCCCCGCACGUCCUAACCUUAACGGUUAUCCGGAAGGAGUCAGGCCACCACCAUGUCCAAACCGGACAAAACUUUCCCCCUCCUUAUCCUCCCGGUGCUCCCCAGCCUUCAUAACCCUGGGGUUGGACCGUACGAGUUCAGAUUGAGUCACUGCCCACACAGUCUCGAGUGGUUGUACUAUUAAAGAGUACAGGUAGUGAAGAUGACAAACCGGUCCUUAUAUGAGGGGACAAUCCUUCUGCUCACGCCUAAACCAGCUGAGCCAACACCUUAGGCCCUCCCCUAAACCAGGGAGUCCCUGAUUAUCCCACUCACAAGGUGAUAAGGGUGAAAACCCUUCAUCACACACAUUUUGAAAAGCAUUUUCUUUUGAAAACUCACACCUGUUCUCAAAUCAUUUGGAACAUAUAUAUCAGGGAUUGAUUGCGGCAAGCGGCUGGGUGGCCAUAAUAACUUGUCUCAAAAUCAUAUCAUGCAUAAAAUAACAGGCUGAGGGUUGUGGUUGAAAAAUCAUAGGUAAUUUAUGCAUCAAAGGGAUCCAGUGAGCUUGCCGUGCUUAUUCGGCGAAGGGGGAAGGGGAGCUCGCGGAACUGGCUUCUGGCUCCACCGCCUAGCGUAGACUUGCAGAUCUGGCCUCCACGAGACGGCACGAACGCUCCGAUAACUAUGCAACAUGAACAAGCAAACAUACAAACCAGCAAGUAUACCAACAAAUAUUUAGUAUAGUGGUCAGAAAAGCGAUAUAUGGAUGGGUAGAGUCUUGAGUAGAAUCUGUGUCAUGUGGUGUUGUGAUAUUACUGGUGGUGGAGCGGAGGUGCUUACCAGGAGGGUGGACUGGAGGCGAAGCGACACUAUGCGUGUAGCCGGUAGAGCGGAGUAACUGAGUGGGUGGGGUGUUUGCCUUGGUUGAGGGUGUUGAGUGUGUGUGGAGAGGGAGAGGGUAGUUGGGUGUAUUUAUAGCUGGGUGUAUGUGGUGUAGCACAGUGAAGUUCACUGUUGGUGAGAAUAGUGAUGAAUGAAUCGUCUGACUUAGUAUGAACAAGAGAGUUAUAGGCAGAAUAUGGGACAAGAGUAUUUUGGGAGUCUUCUGGAAUAUGAACCAUGCUUAAGAGAUGACAUGGUUGGAUAGGGAAUAGUUUGAUAAGAAUUUAGAAACAAGAAUUAUUGGAAUCUGAGUUUGGAAGCCUGGUUCGAAGGAAUCUCAAAGUCAAGCGUGCUCAACUUGGGGAAACCUGGGAUGGGUGACCAGAUGGGAAGUUCCCUACUGGAAGAAAAAUCACAGUCAACGGAGUUCGUAUGACUGGAAUAUGGGUCUGGCUGGUCUUAGGUGGACUGGACAACAUGAUGUACGAGUAGUUGAAAUUUGGGAUGACUAGAUGACCGAUGAAUAGUAACGAUGAUUAGUAACGAUGAAUAGUAAUGAUAAAUAGUAACGAUGAUGAAUAGUGUAUGUGAAUAGUAACGAUGAAUAGUAAUGGUGAAUAGUGAUAGUGAAUAGUUCGUAUGAACGAACGAUGAAUAGGAACUAUGACCGAACAGACGAACGAUCGAAUGAUCGGACGAACGAACGAUCGGAAUUUCGGCAGCAUAACGGCAGGAAAAGAUUAUUUGGACGAACGAACGGACGAACGAUCGAAUGAUCAUACGAACGAACGAUCGGAAUUUCGGCAUCAUAACGGCAGGACAAAGAUUAUCUGGAAGAACGAUGAAUAGGGACUAUGAACGAACGAUGAAUCGACGAAUAGGGACUAUGAACGAACGAUGAACGAUCGAAUGAUCGAACGAACGAACGAUCGGAAUUUCGGCAGCAUAACGGCAGGACAAAAAUUAUCUAGAAGAACGAUGAAUAGGGACUAUGAACGAACGAUGAACGAUGAAUAGGAACUAUGAACGAACGAUGAACGAUCGAAUGAUCGAAUGAACGAACGAUCAGAAUUUCGGCAGCAUAACGGUAGGAAAAAGAUUAUUUGGACGAACGAUCGGACGAACGAACGAACGAACCAUGAACGAUCAGACGAACGAUCCAACGAUCGGACGAACGAACGAACAAACUAAGAACAGGGGACGAACGAUCGAAGAACGAUUGAACGAUCCUUGUGCUAGUGUGUGCUUGUGUGGAACAUGGAGUGGGUGUGUGUGGGGGGGGGAGAGAGUUGCCAUGAAAUGGCUUGGGGUGGGAAGAGAGGAGGCCCUUGCCCCUCUAUUUAUAGCCAUGGUGGGGGGAUUAGGGGGAGGGAUGAGAGGAUUAGUGGGAGGAUGAGAGGAUUAGUGGGAGAUUAGCAUGUAUUUGUCUUGUAUAAGUGAGAUUUGCUUGUAGAGCUCACCGUAUGACACUGGAGGCAUACGUAUACGUAUGAGCAUGAGGAAAGUUAUGAAGAAAAUAUUUAUAGGGACUUGAAAAAUGAUCCUGAAGGUAUUUCUCAGGAGGAAAAUAUCUGGAGAUAUAUCGGUGGAAUAUUUGGGCAGUAUUUCUGGAAAGAACUUGAAGAGGAUCACUAGGGAAAUAUCUGGGCAGUAUUUCUGUAAACAAUUUGAGUGGGAUCACUGAGGAAAUAUUUGUAGGAUAUUUUGAGGAGGAUUUUAGAGAGAAUAUAGACCACUAUACUUUAUUUGUUGAUAUCAACUCGCAAACAAACAUUUUGAAAUGAAAUUUGAAAUUCAUUUUGAAUUUAGAGCAAGUUUGAGAAAGUUUCAGGAUUUGAUUUUUUUGGGAUGCUACAAUAAAGUAAUGUGGGACAGUGAAUCAUAAAGUAUGUAGGACAUAAUGGGUCAGAGGACACUUGCCUUCACCAGGUGGUUCCUCAGGGAGGUCUCCAACAACACACUCAGGAACCUCGGACUGCUCGUUGUCUAAAUGAAGCAAGCAUGCAUUCAAUACAUUUGGAAAGUACAAAUGAACAUCACACCAAACAUGUACAAACAUUGGAACACAUCUUAAAAGGACACAAUACUACAUAAGGGAUAAUGAAUUCAAAAUAUAACAUGAACUAUAACAUAAAUUAACUUCAUUUGGAAGUAGAUUAUUAUUUCCCUAAGUGUUAUUUACAAGUACAUAAUCAUAGAUCAAUUUAUUUUAUGGUGACCUAAAAUUUAGAAGAAAGAUGAACUUAUGUAAUACAUAUUAUUAAUAUCACAAGCUUAAACAACUUUAAAUCUCUAAGGUUCUCCUUUUAUUUAUUUUAUUAAAUAAAUAAGCUACAUCUACAUUAGUUCAUAUUUAAUCAUAAAAAUUAGAAUGUGCAGACAGUAAAUGAAACCAUUAUUUAGAUAGAGAAUAAUUCUAUGAACAUUUUGCAAUUUGGAUCACUAAAUUUGGAGUUCAUAUGCAAAAGUUAUGAAAUAAACAAGUUUGGGAAUUCAAAAUAUGCAAAAGUCCAGGGCUAAAUCUGCAAGAUUACAGGGGCCUGCGCGCGAAAACCAGGGACAGCAGGUUGAUUUCUAAUAAACCGAGGGUCUCUUUAAGAAAACUACCGCGCGAAGGGGUAUCGGGUAAAUCUAACCAUCAGAUCUAAAACCAACGGCUGAGAUUAGAUCUGUGUCCAAGGGCGCGCGCGCGCGAGCGGGCGAGCGCUGACAGGCGGGCCAAGGAGUGUCAGCGAUAGAGGGGGAGAGCGCGCUGACCGAGUGGGCCCAGCGCUAAGGGGUUUAGGCGCUGACAGGCGGGCCAGGGCGUCAGGGCGCGCGUGCGCGAAGCGUUAUCCGAGAUCUGAGUCGUUCGAUCUAAAUCGGACGGAGGGGACUAGACCAGGGGAAACAGACGGCUGUAGGCGGCGCCGCUCCUCUCCGCGGCGGUGAGGUCGCCGGAGUUGAGGCUGGCGCGAGCUAGGGUGGCUCCGGGGUCGCCGGAGUUGCGCAGAGAGGGAGAGGGCGCCACGACGAACUCGAUGGCAGGGAAGAGGCCAUGAAUCCACAGGCAGAGAGGGGAGAACGGCGGUGAGAAAGCCUCGGGCGGGCCGGAGUAACUCUGGUGAGCCAUUUCGGCCACGGGGAGGGGACUUAAGGCGUGCUAAGGCCUGGGCUAGCUUCAGCAGAGGCAGGGGUGACACAGGGACCUACUCCGGGGACUAGACCGAGCUAAAUCGGCUGGCCUCCGCGUGAGCACGGCGGGCCGCCGCGGCCGAGCACCGGGGAAGGUGACAUUGGCUGAACAUAGGGCGCAAUAGGGGAAAUUGGGCACGGAGACGGGUGUCUCACCUCGAGGCGGAUCUCAGGGAGGCUUGGAGCGGUCUCCGGCGAGCUGGAUGGCCGGGAACGCGGGCGCAGGUCUCCGGCGGCUGGCGGCGUGGGUAGAAAGCGAGAGAGGGUGAAGCUGUGCGAAAUAAGGCGAGGGGUGUGCGCGGGGCACUGGCAGAGCUCUAAGAAGGGAGCUGGGCGCGUGGGCGGGCGUCAUGGUCGAGAAAUCCGGUGACGUGCGCGAGUGCGCACGCGCCGGUCCACGGCGAGCGCGGAGGGGGCGGAACUGACAGGGCAGGCCCAUGGCGCAGAGAGAGAAGAAAGUGGCGCGCGGGGCAAUGGCUCGGCGAUUGGUGAUCUAGGCCCGCGAGACAGAGAGAGUGCGCGUGGGUGAAGAAAAACUGGCGCCGACAGAUCGGCCCAACUGGGCAGCGAGCGAGAGAGGGAGCGCGCACGCGAGGGAGAACUGCCGCUGGCAGGCGGGGUCCGCCUGUCAGAUGACGCGGGCGCGCGACCUGGCUGGGCCGACUUGGGCCGGCUGGGCUGCUUUAUCCUUUUCUUUUUCUCUGGAUUUUCUAAUUCCUUUUCCAUUUCUUUUUCUAUAGAGUUUUCAAAUCCAAAUUCAAACUAGGUUUCAAAUUCAAAUAAAUUCAAACUUGUGCAACACUUCAAAGAAUAUUUUAAGCUCAGCAUGAUGCAACAUAUCAUGACUCAUAAGGUUUUGACAAAAAUAAAUAAUUAACCUCCACUAGUUUAAGCUAUCUCUAAUCAAAAAGGAAAAAGGGAGAGAGAAUCUAGAGAUAGAGAAAGCCUAUAGUGAGAAAAAAGAAGAGUAACACAUGAUUUUGGGUGAUAAAUAGAAAGAAAUUUUAUACCCCAAAAUCAGGGUGUUACACUAUCUCUCUUCUCACAAUGCAAAGGACCCAACCCUUAUUCCCGGUUUAGGUAGUGGUAGAGAGAGUAGGUAAUUUAUGCAUCAAGGGAAGAAUGU
This 31264-nucleotide long non-coding RNA is filed under the name Zea mays. RNAcentral's name for it is "long non-coding RNA (ZMAY_LNC004093)". Lineage: Eukaryota; Viridiplantae; Streptophyta; Magnoliopsida; Poales; Poaceae. The record is from RNAcentral.